GAUGAACGCUGGCGGCGUGCCUAAUACAUGCAAGUCGAGCGAACGGACGAGAAGCUUGCUUCUCUGAUGUUAGCGGCGGACGGGUGAGUAACACGUGGAUAACCUACCUAUAAGACUGGGAUAACUUCGGGAAACCGGAGCUAAUACCGGAUAAUAUUUUGAACCGCAUGGUUCAAAAGUGAAAGACGGUCUUGCUGUCACUUAUAGAUGGAUCCGCGCUGCAUUAGCUAGUUGGUAAGGUAACGGCUUACCAAGGCAACGAUGCAUAGCCGACCUGAGAGGGUGAUCGGCCACACUGGAACUGAGACACGGUCCAGACUCCUACGGGAGGCAGCAGUAGGGAAUCUUCCGCAAUGGGCGAAAGCCUAACGGAGCAACGCCGCGUGAGUGAUGAAGGUCUUCGGAUCGUAAAACUCUGUUAUUAGGGAAGAACAUAUGUGUAAGUAACUGUGCACAUCUUGACGGUACCUAAUCAGAAAGCCACGGCUAACUACGUG
Molecule: ribosomal RNA, 497 nt
Filed under: uncultured bacterium
Lineage: Bacteria
Description: partial 16S ribosomal RNA
Rfam family: Bacterial small subunit ribosomal RNA
Source: RNAcentral